ACGGGCGCAGCAAUGCGUCCGUGGCAGUCGGGUGAGUAACGCGUGGGAACGUGCCCUUCGGUUCGGAAUAACUCAGGGAAACUUGAGCUAAUACCGGAUACGCCCUUAGGGGGAAAGAUUUAUUGCCGAAGGAUCGGCCCGCGUCCGAUUAGCUAGUUGGUGAGGUAACGGCUCACCAAGGCGACGAUCGGUAGCUGGUCUGAGAGGAUGAUCAGCCACACUGGGACUGAGACACGGCCCAGACUCCUACGGGAGGCAGCAGUGGGGAAUAUUGGACAAUGGGGGCGACCCUGAUCCAGCCAUGCCGCGUGAGUGAUGAAGGCCCUAGGGUUGUAAAGCUCUUUCGCCAGGGACGAUAAUGACGGUACCUGGAUAAGAAGCCCCGGCUAACUUCGUGCCAGCAGCCGCGGUAAUACGAAGGGGGCUAGCGUUGUUCGGAAUCACUGGGCGUAAAGCGCACGUAGGCGGAUCUUUAAGUCAGGGGUGAAAUCCCGAGGCUCAACCUCGGAACUGCCUUUGAUACUGGAG
Molecule: ribosomal RNA, 528 nt
Filed under: uncultured Methylocystaceae bacterium
Lineage: Bacteria; Pseudomonadati; Pseudomonadota; Alphaproteobacteria; Hyphomicrobiales; Methylocystaceae
Description: bacterial SSU rRNA
Rfam family: Bacterial small subunit ribosomal RNA
Source: RNAcentral